This 556-nucleotide long non-coding RNA is filed under the name Nicotiana benthamiana. RNAcentral describes it as "long non-coding RNA (NBEN_LNC006794)". The record is from RNAcentral. Lineage: Eukaryota; Viridiplantae; Streptophyta; Magnoliopsida; Solanales; Solanaceae.
UAUUAUUAGAUCAGAGAGCUCAGACUCAGAUCGCUCUGUUUUCUUUUGUGUCUGAAUUGAGUUUAAAUCUGUGAAUAAAUCUACACUUACACAACAAUACAGAGCUAGUAAAUUCAAAAUCAAGAAUAUAUAAGGGAUUAAAAAAGAAAAAGAAGAAAAAAUGGCAGCUGGGGUUACAAGGAAAAUUUCAGCAGCUUCAGCCAGAGCUCACACUCUUAAAGCUAAACAAAAAACUUCUUUUCCUUUUUCUUCAGGUGGCUAUUACAUUUUUCUUUUUCCUCUUUUUUUUUUUUGAUAAUAUGAAUUUUCAAAUGUAUCAUAUGUAGAAUAUAUAGUGAUGAAAAACUGAAUUUUGAUUAUGUAAAGUUCAUAACUUUGUUAUAUUUGGUGGAGAAAGUUUUGAUUUGGAUUCUGAUUUUGAGUUUCUCUCUUUGGGGUAGAAUUUUCAGUUUAAUCAUUUGUUUUUAGCUUAACUGUCAAAUUAUAUUGAUUCUAAAAAUAUACAAUGUAUUCCUAUGGUAAUAGUAUGGACUCCUACUACUCAUUUACACUUCCA